GCCUCCAUAGUUCAACGGAUAGAACGCGGGCUUCCGGAGCCUGAGAUGCGGGUUCAAUUCCUGCUGGAGGCACCA
RNAcentral lists this transfer RNA (75 nucleotides) under Candidatus Peregrinibacteria bacterium. Its description in RNAcentral is "tRNA-Arg". It matches the Rfam family "tRNA". Rfam says of the family: Transfer RNA (tRNA) molecules are approximately 80 nucleotides in length. Their secondary structure includes four short double-helical elements and three loops (D, anti-codon, and T loops). Lineage: Bacteria; Candidatus Peregrinibacteriota. The record is from RNAcentral.